GGUCACAGCCAUUUCACCCGGCAGCCCAAGAACGGUUUCUCACUGAAGCUAAGCAGAGCUGAGCCUGGUCAGUACCUAGAUGGGAGACCACAUGGGAAAACUAGGUUGCUGCUGGUA
Molecule: non-coding RNA, 117 nt
Organism: Danio rerio (zebrafish)
Lineage: Eukaryota; Metazoa; Chordata; Actinopteri; Cypriniformes; Danionidae
Source: Rfam